RNAcentral lists this ribosomal RNA (460 nucleotides) under uncultured bacterium. Its description in RNAcentral is "partial 16S ribosomal RNA". It matches the Rfam family "Bacterial small subunit ribosomal RNA", at positions 338 to 795 of the family's 1533-position model. The record is from RNAcentral.
CCUACGGGUGGCAGCAGUGAGGAAUAUUGGUCAAUGGCCGGAAGGCUGAACCAGCCAUGCCGCGUGAAGGUCAGUGCCCUAUGGGCGUUAAACUUCUUUUGUGCGGGAGCAAUAAUGGUCACGUGUGGCCAGACGAGAGUACCGUACGAAUAAGCAUCGGCUAACUCCGUGCCAGCAGCCGCGGUAAUACGGGGGAUGCAAGCGUUAUCCGGAUUUUUUGGGUUUAAAGGGUGCGUAGGCUGUGAGGUAAGUCAGCGGUGAAAUGCCCCCGGUCAACGGGGUGAAGUGCCAUUGAUACUGCCGUGCUGGAAUGCGGGAGACGUAGGAGGAAUGUGUGGUGUAGCGGUGAAAUGCAUAGAGAUCACGCAGAACGCCGAUUGCGAAGGCAUCUCACGAAUCCGCGAUUGACGCUGAUGCACGAAAGCGUGGGUAUCAAACAGGAUUAGAUACCCGUGUAGUC